Molecule: ribosomal RNA, 510 nt
Filed under: Triticum aestivum (bread wheat)
Lineage: Eukaryota; Viridiplantae; Streptophyta; Magnoliopsida; Poales; Poaceae
Description: partial small subunit ribosomal RNA
Source: RNAcentral
AUGUCUCCGUCUUGUGGAAGAUGCACACAGCGUGAUGAAUACAACUACAAAAAUUUGGAGGACGAAAAUAAACAUUUCUUGGUGCUUAUGUUGGGUGAUUUUCAACAACAGACGAUAAUCCCAAAAGAGUGGGUGCGAUGCCUGAAAAGCGAGAUCCCGGAUGAGAUCAACCUAGAAACUCGAAACAGGGUUAGUUACACAAUCAAGGUUGCCAAGUACCGAGAAAAGCAUGUUCUUACAGUGGGUUGGCCCCAAUUCGUCGAGAACUUCCUUCUACAGUUGGGUGAUUCCUUACUAUUCAGAUACAAUGGAGACUCUCUGUUUAGUAUUGUAAUUUUCGAUAAGCUUGGCCGUGAGAAAGCAUCAUCUGUUCUUGUCGAUCCUUUUCCACCACAAGUCCAAGGAAGACGCAAUGAAAUCAGAUCAUCCAAAAGGAAUUUGUUCAGCGUUUCAAGGGAGAGAUCCCAGGAGAGAUUGAACUUGAAACAAAGAAUAAAUGUCGAUACAUAA